RNAcentral lists this ribosomal RNA (449 nucleotides) under uncultured bacterium. RNAcentral's name for it is "bacterial SSU rRNA". It matches the Rfam family "Bacterial small subunit ribosomal RNA", at positions 328 to 794 of the family's 1533-position model. The record is from RNAcentral.
GAUCCAGACUCCUACGGGAGGCAGCAGUGGGGAAUAUUGGACAAUGGGGGAAACCCUGAUCCAGCGACGCCGCGUGAGUGAAGAAGUAUUUCGGUACGUAAAGCUCUAUCAGCAGGAAAGAAAAUGACGGUACCUGACUAAGAAGCCCCGGCUAACUACGUGCCAGCAGCCGCGGUAAUACGUAGGGGGCAAGCGUUAUCCGGAUUCACUGGGUGUAAAGGGAGCGUAGACGGCCAUGCAAGCCAGGGGUGAAAGCCCGGGGCCCAACCCCGGGACUGCCCUUGGAACUGCAUGGCUGGAGUGCGGGAGGGGCAGGCGGAAUUCCUGGUGUAGCGGUGAAAUGCGUAGAUAUCAGGAGGAACACCGGUGGCGAAGGCGGCCAACUGGGCUUUAACUGACGCUGAGGCUCGAAAGUGUGGGGAGCAAACAGGAUUAGAUACCCUCGUAUC